UAGGGAAUCUUCGGCAAUGGACGAAAGUCUGACCGAGCAACGCCGCGUGAGUGAAGAAGGUUUUCGGAUCGUAAAACUCUGUUGUUAGAGAAGAACAAGGACGUUAGUAACUGAACGUCCCCUGACGGUAUCUAACCAGAAAGCCACGGCUAACUACGUGCCAGCAGCCGCGGUAAUACGUAGGUGGCAAGCGUUGUCCGGAUUUAUUGGGCGUAAAGCGAGCGCAGGCGGUUUCUUAAGUCUGAUGUGAAAGCCCCCGGCUCAACCGGGGAGGGUCAUUGGAAACUGGGAGACUUGAGUGCAGAAGAGGAGAGUGGAAUUCCAUGUGUAGCGGUGAAAUGCGUAGAUAUAUGGAGGAACACCAGUGGCGAAGGCAGCUCUCUGGUCUGUAACUGACGCUGAGGCUCGAAAGCGUGGGGAGCAAACAGG
Molecule: ribosomal RNA, 429 nt
Filed under: Gemmatimonadota bacterium
Lineage: Bacteria; Pseudomonadati; Gemmatimonadota
Description: Gemmatimonadetes bacterium partial 16S ribosomal RNA
Rfam family: Bacterial small subunit ribosomal RNA
Source: RNAcentral